This 137-nucleotide small nucleolar RNA is filed under the name Ornithorhynchus anatinus (platypus). Lineage: Eukaryota; Metazoa; Chordata; Mammalia; Monotremata; Ornithorhynchidae. The record is from RNAcentral.
CCCCUCUCAGGUCUCACCUGGAGAGUUUCCAGUACUCUACAAGUCUCAGCUAUGGGAAGGAGAGUCAAGCAGAGGCCUGUCCAUUCCAUUCCUAGCUUGGGCAGUGGCUAGCGAGUGGAAGGCAAUCUGCUACAAGU